This 73-nucleotide transfer RNA is filed under the name Gnatholebias zonatus. Its description in RNAcentral is "tRNA-Asn". It matches the Rfam family "tRNA". From Rfam's summary of the family: Transfer RNA (tRNA) molecules are approximately 80 nucleotides in length. Lineage: Eukaryota; Metazoa; Chordata; Actinopteri; Cyprinodontiformes; Rivulidae. The record is from RNAcentral.
UAGGUAGAUGCUAAUUGGCUUCGGCGUUUAACUGUUAAUUAAAAAAUUGAAGGAUCGAAGCCUUCCUGCCUAG